Salvia splendens (bonfire salvia) is the source of this 1386-nucleotide long non-coding RNA. RefSeq lists it as uncharacterized. Lineage: Eukaryota; Viridiplantae; Streptophyta; Magnoliopsida; Lamiales; Lamiaceae. The record is from RefSeq and is a predicted model, not a curated record. The transcript has 3 exons.
GAUGCGACCUACUAUAGUAGUUGUUUCCACGAGUAUUUCAUAUACAACUAAAAGAGUAAAUCCAAAAUAAAAGUUGUUAAUGUCCGGCAUAUCCAUCGCAUGUCCAUCGGAACUUCGAAAAAGUCUUAUGAUACAAGUUUAUCGAAUCCUAAUCUAAAUCAAUUGGGGAGAAACGUGCUGAGUGCCGAAUAACCAGUUCGAUGGUUGUAGUAUUUUCCAAGGAAGCCCGAUGUAUCGCCCAUGUUCCCUACAUAGAGAUUUUCUUUCCUACAUAAGAAGAAAGUUAGAGAGAGUGAGAUAAAUUAGUUAUAAAUGAAAUCUACAUGUAUAUACUUGAGAAAAAUCAAAUGAAAUCCAAUAGUAGAAAUGAACAGAAUUAAUAGACGGAGGAGAUUUAUCCCAAAUCCAAACACAAUCUUUGAAAAGAUUUUAUGUAGUAAACCUCCCACAAGUUAAAACCUUCCCCAUGUUAAACAUUCCCCAAGUUUGAACUCCCCACAACUUGCAUAGCAACUUGCAAAGAAACAAGUGUAUAAACCCCACGUCAUUGCACUUGCAAGUACCCAUCACUAUCCAACAUCCCAAAGUUCUCUUCACACACACACCAACACAACAUAGGAUUGACAAGGAAUCGAAGGUGAAGAGCUGCAGAUAAUUGUAGGAUCAAGUCCUACAAUCCAACAACACUUUUUUUCACCAUCAAAAGGUUAUCUCAACAAGGUUGGAGCGAGAAAUUCAAGUUAAGGAAAUUAAACGAACGAGGUGAACUUUUCUAUCCUGCAUACUAAUGUGGAUAAAAAUAAAGAAAUUAUUUUCAAAUGAUUUUUAUGAAAACUCGAACUUAUGUUCGUUGCUCAUUUUCAAAGUAUGUUGUCUUGACAUAAAUAUUUUGUGUAUGAUGCCUAUUUGUUUUGGUGUGAGGCCAAGUGAGUUGUGAAUCGAAUUCGGGUCCAAGUGAGGGACAACUCGGACUAGUGUACACAGGAGACCUAUGGCCAGAGGGCAGGUCUGAUAACCGAGGAAGGUGGUCACCAUCCCGGCACAAGAAUGUUAAUUUGGCAGUGAGAGAACACCAUCUCUACGACACAAGAAUGUUAAUGCGACCGUGAGAGAACACCAUCUCUACAGCACAAGAUGAUCAGAUAUGGCAAAAUACAGAAAGAAAAUCGACUACAGUCGAAAAAUGAUUUUUAGUAAGCUCAGGUUGAGCAGCGAAGUGGUGGAGGAAGUGUUAUUGAGAUGAUACAUUUAAUUCAGUCAUAUUAGGACUCUCGGAGGUUCGUGUCUCCAUACAAGGAACAACGUUCAUUUGCUUCCGUUGUGCACCUUAAAAGACUCAAGUUUAUUUUGGUCAAACCUUUAGUAUUUUGAAAUUUUUACAAACAA